RNAcentral lists this unclassified non-coding RNA (200 nucleotides) under soil metagenome. RNAcentral describes it as "partial contains internal transcribed spacer 2 and large subunit ribosomal RNA". The record is from RNAcentral.
GGGGUUUGCAGGUUUCUCUUUUGAAAUCAGCUCCCCUGAAAGAUAUUAGCUGGUUGCCGUGUGUAAACUGUCUAUUGGUGUGAUAAUUAUCUACGCCGUGGACUAUUUGCCGUUUGUAGCACUGCUUCUAACCGUCUGUUCAUUCAGACAAUAUAUGACAAUUUGACCUCAAAUCAGGUAGGACUACCCGCUGAACUUAA